Molecule: ribosomal RNA, 689 nt
Filed under: Levilactobacillus brevis
Lineage: Bacteria; Bacillati; Bacillota; Bacilli; Lactobacillales; Lactobacillaceae
Description: bacterial SSU rRNA
Rfam family: Bacterial small subunit ribosomal RNA
Source: RNAcentral
GCAGUCGAACGAGCUUCCGUUGAAUGACGUGCUUGCACUGAUUUCAACAAUGAAGCGAGUGGCGAACUGGUGAGUAACACGUGGGGAAUCUGCCCAGAAGCAGGGGAUAACACUUGGAAACAGGUGCUAAUACCGUAUAACAACAAAAUCCGCAUGGAUUUUGUUUGAAAGGUGGCUUCGGCUAUCACUUCUGGAUGAUCCCGCGGCGUAUUAGUUAGUUGGUGAGGUAAAGGCCCACCAAGACGAUGAUACGUAGCCGACCUGAGAGGGUAAUCGGCCACAUUGGGACUGAGACACGGCCCAAACUCCUACGGGAGGCAGCAGUAGGGAAUCUUCCACAAUGGACGAAAGUCUGAUGGAGCAAUGCCGCGUGAGUGAAGAAGGGUUUCGGCUCGUAAAACUCUGUUGUUAAAGAAGAACACCUUUGAGAGUAACUGUUCAAGGGUUGACGGUAUUUAACCAGAAAGCCACGGCUAACUACGUGCCAGCAGCCGCGGUAAUACGUAGGUGGCAAGCGUUGUCCGGAUUUAUUGGGCGUAAAGCGAGCGCAGGCGGUUUUUUAAGUCUGAUGUGAAAGCCUUCGGCUUAACCGGAGAAGUGCAUCGGAAACUGGGAGACUUGAGUGCAGAAGAGGACAGUGGAACUCCAUGUGUAGCGGUGGAAUGCGUAGAUAUAUGGAAGAACACCAG